GUUUACGGCCAUGCCACCCUGAACAAGCCUGAUCCCAUCUGAUCUCGGAAGCUAAGCAGGGUCGGGCCUGGUUAGUACUUGGAUGGGAGACCACCUAGGAACACCAGGUGCUAUAGGUG
Molecule: ribosomal RNA, 119 nt
Filed under: Pteropus alecto (black flying fox)
Lineage: Eukaryota; Metazoa; Chordata; Mammalia; Chiroptera; Pteropodidae
Source: RNAcentral